AUGGAAACAGGUGUGUUAAGGAACGUAAUGAAGGGAAAAGGUUGACAAUUGGCUAUUUUAGACAGUCUUUUCCCUAUAGUGAGUAUCUUGGAAUGACUCAGUGAAGACUACUCUCGAUUCCACCAGGAGAAGGACCAUCACUUCCCAAGUUUGUAAGAAAACUCACUAGCUGCGUUUCCAUUGACCAUAGAAUGGUGCAAAUUGGUAUUAUGAAACUAAACUUGUGGAUUGAGAACAAGGCAAUUUCAAAAAAGCUCACGUUUUUUUGUUAAAGAUUAUGCGCUAGAAUGAGGUGAUUUUUGAUUGAUGUAUUUUGCAAAACUGCAAUGAAAAUAUGUUUCACAUCAUGCCAGUUUGUAAACAGCUGCAACGUGCUUGUUUGUAGGUACUGGCCUCUUUGGACACAAGAGAUCUCUCAGCACUGCACAGUUGAUCAAAAGUUCAGAUGUGUUGAAUCAGUAGCUCUUCUGUAAAAACCACAAACUACAAUUUUCCCAAAGCGACACCUGAAUAAAACGCUGACGUCUCCUCCGAUGGCUGAGUGCUAGCACUGUGGCUGAAGUAUUAAUAUAUCGCAUGACCUCCUGGUUCAUUACAGCAAACAUUUGCUCUAAAAAGAAAGAGCCCACAUCUUCAUCGUUAACCUCAGCUGUCCUGUCUGCUUUGAAGGAGCUCACCUUUGCUGAGCGGCGGGUAGAGGACUGGGAAGGAGGAAGAGAGUUGAAGGAAAGGGUGGAUUCACACACACCCACAAGCAAGGAAACGGGCACACACACAUUCAGCAAUGAAGGACAAUAGAAGAUUAGAAGCAGGUAAAAAGCAUAUUAAAUUAGACAGACUGAUCACAAGUUGCUGCAUGCAUAAUUUGGUGCCCUUUGAGCGGUGGCCUUCUAGAUUUAAAGCAAAACAGACAGAGAAAACAUGAAUUCAUGCAGCAACGUCCAGGAAAAAAGGUUUAGUGUGGACAGGAGCCACCACUGGAAUAUAAAUAUAAAAAACCAAGGUGGGAACAACAAGAAUGUUGAACGCUUUUACGUCCGUGCAAGUAAA
Long non-coding RNA from Poecilia latipinna (sailfin molly), 1050 nucleotides. RefSeq lists it as uncharacterized. The transcript has 2 exons. The record is from RefSeq and is a predicted model, not a curated record. Lineage: Eukaryota; Metazoa; Chordata; Actinopteri; Cyprinodontiformes; Poeciliidae.